Molecule: transfer RNA, 73 nt
Filed under: Paramuricea clavata
Lineage: Eukaryota; Metazoa; Cnidaria; Anthozoa; Malacalcyonacea; Plexauridae
Rfam family: tRNA
About the family: Transfer RNA (tRNA) molecules are approximately 80 nucleotides in length. Their secondary structure includes four short double-helical elements and three loops (D, anti-codon, and T loops).
Source: Rfam by way of RNAcentral
GACCGCGUAGCUCAGUUGGCAGAGCAUUGGGCUAAUUUUCCAAAGGUCGUAGGUUCGAUUCCCACCGUGGCCA